Molecule: non-coding RNA, 411 nt
Organism: Schizosaccharomyces pombe (fission yeast)
Lineage: Eukaryota; Fungi; Ascomycota; Schizosaccharomycetes; Schizosaccharomycetales; Schizosaccharomycetaceae
Source: the annotation of a GenBank genome assembly
UGGGUAGAGGCUCACCUUUCAAAAGUCGUGAAACCAAAAGUUCGUAAGCCGGAUGACUUAUCUUGUGACUAACCAAAACUUUAUUCACCAUCGGUAUAAAAAUCGAAUAAUCAUACCCAAGUUGCGAUACUAUAGCACAAAGAGUAUCCAUAAUAACUGCUCUCAAAUCGCCAUUAGAUUUCCCUAGCAUGCGAACCAAUGGAUGAAUGAUUCGAGAGGCAUGAUCCGAGAAAUUAACAGAUUGAAAUAAUUGGGCAAUGCAUUUGAGGGCACUCUUCCUGAAUCCAAGGGGUAUAGUAUCACGCUCAAAACUUCUAAUUAUAACUGGUAGAACAAGAUGCAUGUAUUCUUCAAUAUUAGAACCAAAUAUAACAAAUGAUUGUAAAACUUUGUAUGAAACGGAACGGGAAG